GCCCCGUUCGUCUAGUGGCCUAGGACGCUGGCCUCUCACGCCGGAAACAAGGGUUCAAUUCCCUUACGGGGCGCCA
Molecule: transfer RNA, 76 nt
Filed under: Hyphomicrobiales bacterium
Lineage: Bacteria; Pseudomonadati; Pseudomonadota; Alphaproteobacteria; Hyphomicrobiales
Also listed under: 2 other names
Description: tRNA-Glu
Rfam family: tRNA
About the family: Transfer RNA (tRNA) molecules are approximately 80 nucleotides in length. Their secondary structure includes four short double-helical elements and three loops (D, anti-codon, and T loops).
Source: RNAcentral